RNAcentral lists this long non-coding RNA (365 nucleotides) under Solanum tuberosum (potato). RNAcentral's name for it is "long non-coding RNA (STUB_LNC008502)". Lineage: Eukaryota; Viridiplantae; Streptophyta; Magnoliopsida; Solanales; Solanaceae. The record is from RNAcentral.
AUUGUAUUUUUAUAUAUUCUAUCCUCCUCCCUUCUAUUUCUUCUCACUUUCUCUUUUCUAAUCUUACAUCUCUCUCUUAUUCAAAGCUAAAAAAAUUUACUUGUUCUAUUGAUAAUUUAUAUUUUAAAUUUGGAGAAAACUAUAUUGCAGCAGCCCGAUUCAUUUUCGGAAAUCAAGUCUUCAUAGCUUUUGAAUUUGGUAAUAUCAUUCUAAUUUCUAAUAUUAUUUUUGUUUUGUGUCUUAUGUUUAUUAUAUUUUUUAUUUGAUAUUGUAAAUAGUGUUUAAAAUAUUUGUUAGAUUUUAAUAUGUCAACUAGAAAAUAUGAAUCCGGUCAUUCAAAACUUAAAAGAAAAAGAAAAGUCGAN